This 1225-nucleotide ribosomal RNA is filed under the name Coxiella endosymbiont of Amblyomma coelebs. RNAcentral's name for it is "bacterial SSU rRNA". It matches the Rfam family "Bacterial small subunit ribosomal RNA", at positions 141 to 1388 of the family's 1533-position model. The record is from RNAcentral. Lineage: Bacteria; Pseudomonadati; Pseudomonadota; Gammaproteobacteria; Legionellales; Coxiellaceae.
GGAUAACCCGGGGAAACUCGGACUAAUACCGCAUAAUCUCUCCGGAGUAAAGCGGGGGAUCUUCGGACCUCGUGCUAUAAGAUGAGCCUGCGUCGGAUUAGCUUAGUUGGUGGGGUAAUGGCCUACCAAGGCGACGAUCCGUAGCUGGUCUGAGAGGACGAUCAGCCACACUGGGACUGAGACACGGCCCAGACUCCUACGGGAGGCAGCAGUGGGGAAUAUUGGACAAUGGGGGAAACCCUGAUCCAGCAAUGCCGCGUGUGUGAAGAAGGCCUUCGGGUUGUAAAGCACUUUCAGUGGGGAAGAAAGUCUCAAGACUAAUACUGUUGAGCGUUGACGUUACCCACAGAAGAAGCACUGGCUAACUCUGUGCCAGCAGCCGCGGUAAUACAGAGAGUGCAAGCGUUAAUCGGAAUCACUGGGCGUAAAGCGCGCUUAGGUGGAUAUUUAAGUCAGAUGUGAAAUCCCUGGGCUUAACCUAGGAAUUGCAUCUGAUACUGAAUGUCUCGAGUAUGGUAGAGGGAAGUGGAAUUUCCGGUGUAGCGGUGAAAUGCGUAGAUAUCGGAAAGAACACCAGUGGCGAAGGCGGCUUCCUGGACCAAUACUGACACUGAGGUGCGAAAGCGUGGGGAGCAAACAGGAUUAGAGACAGAACUAGCUGUUGGGGAGUUUGCUUUCUAGUAGCGAAGCUAACGCGUUAAGUUCUCCGCCUGGGGAGUACGGCCGCAAGGUUAAAACUCAAAGAAAUUGACGGGGGCCCGCACAAGCGGUGGAGCAUGUGGUUUAAUUCGAUGCAACACGAAAAACCUUACCUACCCUUGACAUCCUCGGAACUUGUCAGAAAUGACUUGGUGCCUUUGGGAGCCGAGUGACAGGUGCUGCAUGGCUGUCGUCAGCUCGUGUCGUGAGAUGUUGGGUUAAGUCCCGUAACGAGCGCAACCCUCGUCCUUAGUUGCCAGCGGUUCGGCCGGGAACUCUAAGGAGACUGCCGGUGAUAAACCGGAGGAAGGUGGGGAUGAUGUCAAGUCAUCAUGGCCCUUACGGGUAGGGCUACACACGUGCUACAAUGGGCAGUACAAAGGGUUGCCAAAUCGCGAGAUGGAGCUAAUCCCAAAAAGCUGUUCGUAGUCCGGAUUGGAGUCUGCAACUCGACUCCAUGAAGCUGGAAUCGCUAGUAAUCGCGAAUCAGAAUGUCGCGGUGAAUACGUUCUCGGGCCUUGUACAC